GGGAUAGCUCAGUUGGUAGAGCAGAGGACUGAAAAUCCUCGUGCC
This 45-nucleotide transfer RNA is filed under the name Aphragmus sp. HZS1. RNAcentral's name for it is "partial tRNA-Phe". The record is from RNAcentral. Lineage: Eukaryota; Viridiplantae; Streptophyta; Magnoliopsida; Brassicales; Brassicaceae.